This 410-nucleotide ribosomal RNA is filed under the name bacterium IGS101. RNAcentral describes it as "bacterial SSU rRNA". It matches the Rfam family "Bacterial small subunit ribosomal RNA", at positions 11 to 451 of the family's 1533-position model. The record is from RNAcentral.
GUUUGAUCCUGGCUCAGAACGAACGCUGGCGGCAGGCUUAACACAUGCAAGUCGAGCGCCCCGCAAGGGGAGCGGCAGACGGGUGAGUAACGCGUGGGAAUCUACCCUUUUCUACGGAAUAACGCAGGGAAACUUGUGCUAAUACCGUAUAAGCCCUUCGGGGGAAAGAUUUAUCGGGAAAGGAUGAGCCCGCGUUGGAUUAGCUAGUUGGUGGGGUAAAGGCCUACCAAGGCGACGAUCCAUAGCUGGUCUGAGAGGAUGAUCAGCCACAUUGGGACUGAGACACGGCCCAAACUCCUACGGGAGGCAGCAGUGGGGAAUAUUGGACAAUGGGCGCAAGCCUGAUCCAGCCAUGCCGCGUGAGUGAUGAAGGCCCUAGGGUUGUAAAGCUCUUUCACCGGUGAAGAUAA